AGCAGCGCCGGGAGAGCGGCGGGCGCCCCGCGGGGCCGGCGGGGCAUGGCGGGCUCAGAGCCGCUGCCCGCGCUCCCGUCCCUGGCGUUCCCCCACUGACAGAGCGGAGCGGGGCGCGACGCGACCUCCUGCUUCUCAGUGCGGGUGGCUGCUCCCGCUCAUACCCCGGAGUGGCCACCGAGGGCGGGAGGCGGUGGGAGCGGGGGGCGCUGUAAAAAAAGUAAAGACAGAAAGCGGGAGGGGGCCGCAGCGCCGCCACCGCCGCCAGCCACUCUGCAAACUUUCCGCCGCCUCAGCCCGCCUCCGCGGGAGCCCCGAGCACCGCCCGCCCCGCCGCAGCCCCCUCCCCCUGCCAUGUGACAGCCGCAGCCCCUGCCCGCUCCGCCGCGGCCGGGCCCCGCGGAGCGGGGGCUGGGAGAGCGGGUGCCAGGCCUGGGCUGGCGUGGCGCCCCGCAGCUUCGCGGCCGUGGCAGCGGCACUCCCGGCCUGCGCCGGGCGGCGGCACAUGGCCGGCCUCGCAUCACGGCGGGUACUACGGUGGGACCUUGCUGCUGUCCCCGGCCUGUCCGUGGGCGGGCGGGAGCGGGCAGCGGGCCCUGAGUGCUUAGAGCGGCAGCCACGGCGCACGGGCCGUGGUGAGAAGGCACGGGUACCGUGGUCUUCCUCGUGCGGGAUUUCCCUUUGCCGUCGCGCCAGUUAGCGCAUGUCGUGGUAAUCCAAAAGCUGCUCCAGAGGCCCCAGAGGGUUCCCAGCCAAGCCUGGGGUCACUGGCAUGUAAAAGGAUCCCAGCUCCAAAGGUUCAGGGGAGUGGGCAGGGCGUACAGAUUCCACAUCUCUGAGGUUUGUAUGUUUCACCUGAAAGAUUGUAGACGUCUUAGACACUGUGAACCUGAACCUUCAAAGUCUUACAGCUCCGAUAGCAAGAUCUGUAAGGCUGAAACUUUGUCCCUGUUUUUAUUGUUUCCAUGCGUAUCUAAGGACACAGGGAUUUUGUUAAAGAAACAAAACUACAUUUCAGUCAGGAAUCAUGAAUUUGCAAGCCAAGCAAGCAAGUCCUGAGUAACUACGAACAUUCACAUGUCACUCUUGACACAACUGUUCCAGGUGCAUAGGAUGUGCAGAGCUGUGCAGUGUUUUGUCAGCUUGUGCUCCGUUGACCACUAGCGUUCCUUAAGGAAAUUAUUGUGGGAAAACAAACAAAUACUGAAGGAGCACACUUUUU
This is a long non-coding RNA of Pipra filicauda (Wire-tailed manakin), 1222 nucleotides long. RefSeq lists it as uncharacterized. The record is from RefSeq and is a predicted model, not a curated record. The transcript has 3 exons. NCBI's taxonomy places the organism in Eukaryota, Metazoa, Chordata, Aves, Passeriformes, Pipridae.